UACGUAGGGGGCAAGCGUUGUCCGGAUUUAUUGGGCGUAAAGAGCGUGUAGGCGGCCUGGAAGGUCAGCUGUGAAAACUCGAGGCUCAACCUCGAGACGUCGGUUGAAACCACCUGGCUAGAGUCCGGAAGAGGAGAGUGGAAUUCCCGGUGUAGCGGUGAAAUGCGCAGAUAUCAGGAGGAACACCGAUGGCGAAGGCAGGUCACUGGGCCGCAACUGACGCUGAGGAGCGAAAGCAUGGGGAGCGAACAGG
This 253-nucleotide ribosomal RNA is filed under the name uncultured bacterium. RNAcentral describes it as "partial 16S ribosomal RNA". It matches the Rfam family "Bacterial small subunit ribosomal RNA", at positions 524 to 776 of the family's 1533-position model. The record is from RNAcentral.